This 377-nucleotide unclassified non-coding RNA is filed under the name uncultured Oligoflexaceae bacterium. Its description in RNAcentral is "contains 16S-23S intergenic spacer region". The record is from RNAcentral. Lineage: Bacteria; Pseudomonadati; Bdellovibrionota; Oligoflexia; Oligoflexales; Oligoflexaceae.
UCCGGUUUAACACCGGCAGUCUCCCUAGAGUCCCCAACUGAAUGGUGGUAACUAAGGAUAGGGGUUGCGCUCGUUGCAGGACUUAACCUAACAUCUUACGACACGAGCUGACGACAGCCAUGCAGCACCUAUCACCUUGUCUCCGAAGAGAAAACUACAUCUCUGUAGUCGUCAAGGGAUGUUAAGCCCAGGUAAGGUUCUGCGCGUUGCUUCGAAUUAAACCACAUACUCCACCUCUUGUGCGGGCCCCCGUCAAUUCCUUUGAGUUUUAGCCUUGCGACCGUACUCCCCAGGCGGGAUACUUAAUGCGUGAGCUUUGGUACCCAGUCGGUUAGACAACCGGACACCUAGUAUCCAUAGUUUACAGCGUGGACUAC